Molecule: unclassified non-coding RNA, 431 nt
Filed under: plant metagenome
Description: partial contains 5.8S ribosomal RNA, internal transcribed spacer 2, and large subunit ribosomal RNA
Rfam family: 5.8S ribosomal RNA (bases 1-102)
Source: RNAcentral
AAACUGCGAUAAGUAGUGUGAAUUGCAUUUAGUGAAUCAUCGAAUCUUUGAACGCACCCUGCACUCACUGGUAUUCCGGUGAGUACGCCUGUUUCAGUAUCAUUGAAAACACACAAUCAAAACAUUUUCUUUGGUUUGAUUGGCUUUGGGUCUAUCAAAAAGUUUGGCUUGUUUCUUACAAGCCAAGCGGCCUGAAAUAUAUUGUCUGGCUAAUUGCAUCGUUGAUGAUCGCUAUUAGACUUUGGCUUUUUUAAAUGAACUGGAGGUUGAUUAACCAGUUUUAGCUUUAGUCAAAUGGUCAUUGUAAAAAAAAUCUCGAUCUUGGCUAGGUGUUUAUAGCCGAAAAUUUUUUUUUGGCUAUAACCGAAACCAAUAUAAUCACAUUUAGUUAUCGAUCUGAAAUCAUGUGGGACUACCCGCUGAACUUAAGC